UAUAUAUUAGUGUUUAAAGCACAAAAAUUUUUGAAAUUUUAAGAAAUAAAUUAUAAUUUANUNUAUAUAU
RNAcentral lists this transfer RNA (70 nucleotides) under Parnips nigripes. RNAcentral's name for it is "tRNA-Gln". Lineage: Eukaryota; Metazoa; Arthropoda; Insecta; Hymenoptera; Figitidae. The record is from RNAcentral.